GAUAACGUUGCGUCAGCAACGGCCCGUAGGGCGAGGCGAAGCCGAGUCAUCCUGCACGACCCACCA
RNAcentral lists this small RNA (66 nucleotides) under Salmonella enterica subsp. enterica serovar Infantis. RNAcentral describes it as "partial RtT sRNA". It matches the Rfam family "RtT RNA", at positions 60 to 130 of the family's 130-position model. From Rfam's summary of the family: This family represents a bacterial cis-regulatory element known as RtT RNA. The exact function of RtT is unknown although it is thought that it may be involved in changing the cellular response in relation to amino acid starvation. RNAcentral also lists the same sequence under 5 other names. Lineage: Bacteria; Pseudomonadati; Pseudomonadota; Gammaproteobacteria; Enterobacterales; Enterobacteriaceae. The record is from RNAcentral.